UUUUAGGUGUGACAAACAACUGUCAGGUGAACAAAACUGUUAUAUUCUGUGCAUUAUAAUAUGUUACGAGAGUAUAAUAUAAAAUAUUGUGUUUCAGUAUACAAUAUAUAGAAACAAAUGCAGCGUAAAAGGUACCAGGAAGUUUGUGAACACAACAAUUGGUCAAUUCCCUGAUUUGAACAUCAACAAUAAUGUAUUGAGAGAUAUAAAGUAAUAUGUGUUCGAAUCAUGAUUUGUGUGUGAAAAAAAUAUCCGUAUGUUCGCGUCAACUAUAAAUAAUAAAAAUAGUAAAAUUUUGAAAUGUUAUCAGCAUUAAUUCGCAAAGGAACUUUAUGUAAAUUGAUAUAUGUAGAUACGUAAAUUAAGGGUAAAUGUGAAGCAACACAUUCCGACUAAAGAAAGGAAAAAUAAAAUUUCGUCGUAACCAUAUAAUUAAAUAGUUAAUUUGUACAUUUCAAGUAAACGUGUGAUACAUUAAUAUAAUACAUCAAUCUAUAUAUUUAACUAGUUAAAUAAAAAGUAACACUCCACAAACGUCCGUGAAUAUUUCAAUUUGUUAAAUGUGGUAUACCGAAUAAGAGAUAAAAUCAAUAGCUUCGGUAUAGUAUUACCAUUUUGUUAAGGUUGAAGUUACAAAACAGUUCCUUACUAGAGUAUUAAAUUGUGUUGCUCCGAAGUGAGUGAGUGCAAUACGAUUAUUUACACAUUAUUAAAACUUUCAUAAAUUAAACACAAAUACGUGGAACUGCAUAUGUAAAUGUAAAUAUCUACAGUAUACGCAAAUGCAUAUGUAUGCAUUGAUGAAAGGAUUUAAUUAAAUUUAUCCAGGAAAUCUUUGUCGUAAAUUUCCAGUAUUUGAAAUAAGAAAUUAGUAAUUUAUUCAAAUACAAAAAUGGAACCCAACAAGUCAUUUUCUCUUAAUGAAGCGCAACCAAGUAGCCUGGUGGGAUCUAAUAAUUCCAAAGCGCAAGUCGGAUGUGUAAUCACUCAAACGCCAAAUGGAAGCAUAUGUAAAGAGAAUUCAUUUCUGAAGAAUCAUUCUAACAAAGCUAUAAUUGAACAAAAGUUACCUAAUGGAACUAUAAACAAUACUAAUGAUUCUGAAAAUUAUGCAAAUUUCGUGCAAAUUCCGGUGGAGACCCUGCAAUACCAUCGCCGGAAGCUGACACCACAAGAACAAGCUCGAAUGUCUUGUAAUACGGACUACAGGUGCCAAGAUGAUGUUUUUAAAGCAGCUAUAAACGGACGAUUGGGAUCUGCAUCUAUUUUAUCAUCAUCGUUAGAAAGUCAACCAUAUUUUAAUCCUUUGGGUCAACAGAUUCAACAUCAAAAUCAAGCAGUUCGAAAUUCAAUGCAACUAAAUCAAAAAUCAAUUUGCAUGCCGAAUGGACUUUUUGACUGUAACGAAGGAGUAUUUAAUUUUGACGAAAGAAAUGAAAGUAAGGAAGGGCUAAUCGCAGCAUCUACUCAAACCCAAUAUUAUGAGAAUCAGACCAAUAAUAAUUGCGAUGCCUUUUCUUCAGAUAUCAAAAUUGAUUCUGGUGGAGAAACCUUGACUCCUACAGUCUCUUCAGGGCAUAUGAUGUACACAGUACAUCGAGUGGUUACAACAUCCCAAAUUCAAACUGCACUUGGGAAUACUUAUGCUUCUUCUUCUAGUGUUUCGAGCGUUGUCAGCGCUCUUCGAAACGAUAAUUUGGUAACUCCUACGAGUAUAUCUACAAAUUUGACAACUAUACCUGGAAACGGUAUUGUAGGAAUUUCAGGCAAUGUUUUAAGCAAAAUGGAUGAUAACUCGAAUACAGCCAACAACGUUAUAAUAAGCGGAGCGGGUAUAUCAGAUCCGCAACCAUCUGAAGAUACGGAUAUUUUGACCAAUGGCGACCAUAAGUUAAACAUUAAAUCAGAUCACUCUAGAUUGCAAAGUACAUCAUGUAAUAAUUCAGUUAUUAUAAAUAAUAUAAAUGGAUCCAAAUCUACAUCAUUGAUUCAAAGGCCCUUGCAAAAUGUAAUACCGACAUGCGUAUAUUUGAUGUCGCGCAUUGCUGUACAUAUGGAAAUAGAAGGAACAUCUCAAUGUCCCACACAAGUAAUGCUAGCUGCUGCUUUGGGAUGUGAAGAGUUAGGUAUUGCGAACAAGUUACUAGCGCAAAGUAUUUUUGGAUUAUGGAUGACGAGUGGACUCUUAGAUAUACAGUUGAAAUCACAUCACCGACCUUAUGCUGUUAGAGUAGCAUGGCAAUCUCUACUAGACAAAUUCAGCAGCGGCAAUGCAAUUGAAAAAAAAUUUGAUGAUCCCAUGAUAAUGCUUAAACGAAAUGUUUUUUUCUCAAAACGUGACGAAGAGAAAAUUAAAGACCAACGCAUUUUAGAGUUAUUAUACGAAGAAGCCAAGUAUAAUGUUUUAUCUGGUCGAUAUGUAAUGGAAUCGUCCCAUGCUUUUAUGUUAGGUGGUAUACAGGCAAGAAUUGAAUUGGGUCCAUAUAAUUCUCAUACACACACCAUUGGUUUUCUUAGAGAAAACCAGUUAAGAUUCCUACCGCAACAUGUUGCAAGGAGUAUGAGUUGGGCUUGGUUACCAGUCAGUCGAAAGAAUUCGGCUGAAGUUAAGCUUUUAGAACAACUCAAACGUGUUCCUUCAACUGCGACAACAAAGAAACUUAUGCGCAAGUAUUUGGAAUUUUGCUGGGCACUUCCAUUUUAUGGAGCUGUUUUUUUCCACGGGCAAAUGGAGCAACCGGUUCGCGGUCUAAUGAGUUUGGUUAGUCACAAAGAUGUAAGAGUUCUUAUAGCAGUCAAUGAACGUGGAAUAUUUAUUAUAGAUCCUUUAGAGUGUAUCAGAGAACGGCAAGGGUACACCCUAACAAUAAGUGUACCCGAAUCAUUUGUGCGUUUACGACACUUAUAGCCCUGAAAGGCGACAGCGCUAAUAUGCAUUAGCGGGCUUAAUUUACAUUUAUUUGCGCAUUUGACCCAUGUGAAUGCAAGUUUGUAAUGCACAAGAAUUUCGUGCAUUUGGCUGAAUUUAGUAGGCAACAUUGGUUAAAAAUGACAGAUUUUUGCUAUUGUUUGACAGAUGUCGCUUGAAAUCUGCCGCGUUGUUUGUGUUUACAGCUUCAGAGAUGGCAGAAAAACUACAACGUUUGCUCUCCAUUUUUCCAAUAUUCUUCACUUUUUCACACACUUUCAUUUCACUUUUUGUUUUAAUAAAUAAACAAAUUUCACGAUCAGCUGUCCAAAUGCACAAGUCUGCCGUCUGUCACCAUAAAACUUCAAUGCGCAUUAGCGUUGCUUAAGGCGCAUUAAUUUUGCUCGUCUGUCAGGGCUAUUAGAGUGUGAUCACCACACUAAAAUCAAGAUUGUUGCCUUGUACUGAUAAUUUCGAUCAUGCUCAUACGCACAAGCUCAAAUCAAUUUCGUGCUCUUUUUCCGCAUGCAUACAUGAGUUGAGGUCGACGAAAAUGCUAAAGCAAAAGGAAUGAGCGAAAUUGAGAGCACAACACUUGAGACAAACAAUAUGUGAGAGACAUGUGUGUUGUUGUUAUUCUUACAUUAGCUUUAUACAUGCAUACAUAUUUGUUUUUGAAUAUGCACAUAUGCAUACAUAUAUGUGAAAUGAAAAUAAAAAGCCGUGUUUUGCUGCUUCAUUGCUUGUUAUAUAAGUUAACACCGGUAAACACGUAUCCGGUCAACACUCCACUCCCACCGAUAUUGCUGACGGUGCGUCGGCAGGUUUGAGUGUGGAAAUAGCGUAACAACAACUCUCCCACGGAUACUGAUGACGAAGCGUCGACUAGGUAGCGCGUGACAACAACAAAAUCGUUACAGCGGAAAAGCAAGAGGUAAAUUGCCGAAUUGCAUUUUGCAAGUCACACGGCAAAACAUGUUCAGCAACUGACAGAUAAAACAAAGAGUCAGGUAUUUAGGCGUAGUUGUAGCAAUAUUUUAUUAAGCAAAUCAGUUGUAAUAACUCGACCGAUACAAACGGCUGCUCUUGUGUAAACAGGAGAAAUAAAAAAGAUUAAAACUCAACAAGUGUUUUAAUGAUUGGCGCCCAACGUGGGCCCAUAGUGCAGUUCUUGUGUUAUCCUUAUAGAGGACAAAUCCUGUGCGUGGCCGUGGUUCGAAUCCACCCGACAGUCGCGGAAAAACAUUUAACUUAAUUAACACUACAUAAAUAGUGAGAGCUACGAACAAUUUUCUAUUUUGAAAAAUUUUAACCGCAACCAUUUCAUUAAACUCUUAUUGCAUUAAACAUAUUAUUUUGUGAAAUUUAAACACUACCUAACCGUGGGAGAAAGUGUGGAGCGAAUGCUCUAAGAAAUAAAGCAUCCUAAUCAUCGUAAUCCUGUCUUCCUGCUGCUGGAUCACAACCCCACGAAUCAUCGUGCUACUGCCUUAUCAUACCUUAUUUAGUGACAUAGCUUAUCGAGAUAUGGAAAAUUUCAUACUUUACUAAUUGGACUAAGGUAUGAGGAUUUAUCAUGGGACUUUGCCAAACCUAGUGUGAAUAAUGAUCCUGACUGCCAAACUUGCAUAUUUAUUC
RNA transcript from Bactrocera neohumeralis, 4546 nucleotides. It is a transcript of the gene named FERM domain-containing protein 8, with no coding region annotated. The transcript has 12 exons. The record is from RefSeq and is a predicted model, not a curated record. Lineage: Eukaryota; Metazoa; Arthropoda; Insecta; Diptera; Tephritidae.